Molecule: long non-coding RNA, 1668 nt
Organism: Oncorhynchus tshawytscha (Chinook salmon)
Lineage: Eukaryota; Metazoa; Chordata; Actinopteri; Salmoniformes; Salmonidae
Source: Ensembl
CACUCGUCGAGGGAAGAAAUAAAACCUUUCCGAACCAAAAAUUCUACUCACUCGUCGCGACACAACAGACCAUGGACGGUUAUGCGCUGACAGAAGAUGAGCUGUUUUCCUCCUGCCUCCUGAACCUCACCUGGGAGAAUUCUUAUGAGCAGCAUAAACCUGCUCUCCGCCACCAGCAAAAUUAGAUGAUUGAGGGUGAACAUGCAACACAUCAGCUUUAAUUGUCUGGAGCCUGGUGGUGUUGUAGCCAUGGAGCUUUCACUCAGAUGGAACCAGGUUACAGCUGCUGUGCAACGUUGACGUCCUUCCUCCCAGACAUGUGAAUGCAUCCCACUGGACACAACCCGGCAAACAUAUUUUUGAGAAAAUCAGGACUUUUGCAAUGAAAAGGCCAUGGACAUUAUAUGUCCUGAUCCAAAGGGCAGAAUAGAAAUAUGCUCCCAGGCUAGAUUCCUUUGUUCAUAUCAUAACAUGACCUGAACCAAAGUUAUUCUAAGGAUCUUGUGAUAUAGGCCUAGGUCAAUAUAUUGUUUUUACCUAAGCCUUUGUGUUUGUGUGUUUUUAAGUUUUUCGUAAUUGCAGGCUACUACCUUUAGCACUUGCAGUUAAUCAAGUAUUUUUGAAAUAUUGUCUUUGUUUUUUAAGCACUACCUCACUGCUUUAGCACAUUGCCAUGGUCACCUGUUCCAAUGUGAAUUUUUUAAGAGACGGGUAGGUCUAAGCCGUUAGAGUGUGUGAACGAUGCUAAAUGGGCAUAAACAAAGAACAGCACUGUAGCUGUUCAAUGUGAAAGGUUAUUUUUAUUAUACAGCAAUAAGCAAUGUAAUACUGUACAUGGUUUGCCUAAUGGGGUAACUUGGUAUUAGUAUUCCUAUAGAAAAGUAUUCCUUUUCUAAAUAUAUGUUUCCCAAGUAUUAAUGUAGAGGAUGUGUGAAAAUCACAGCAAAAUGUUUGAAUGCCCUUUUCUCCCAAAUGGGAUUUGAAGUUUAGCAAUUUUUAAAGCAGCAUUACUUACCCACGUUUCCUCCAACUGCAGUGUAUGAUAUACCAUUUUGAAGCAUCUGUACUUUUAUCCAAUGUAAAAAAUUCAUUAAAUGUUGAACAUAAGACUGAAAAGAGAUGGUGGGUCACACAUGACUUAAAUGUAAUGUUAUUAUGGGUUUUUGGAGUAUGAGAGUAGAAGAAUGCCGCUGUGUGAAGCAAUUGUACAUUCUCAGAAACCCCAACAAUUCACAAAGCAAAUACAUAAAAUUCAUAUCAAACGACAGUCGUUAAAGGCAUCAUUCAGUUGAAUCAGCUUGUCUCCCUUUAAUUGUGUUAUAUUGAGGGACAUUUAGAGUGGUGUUGAAGUGCUGUAAAUUGAGGCAUCGAUUUUCCUGUUUCUUUGAGCUGGGAAUAAGAUCAUUUGAAGAGUUUUCUUAUCGGCCCAGGUCAGACGUUGGCGUUUAUACACUGAAAAAGUCAACUUUGGCCAGUUUUCAAGUCUUUUUCACAGUCAAAGCCAUUCACCAUAAACGUUUACAGCGGAACAUAUGUGUAUGGAGAAGCCACCUACCAGCCUGCCAAGAAUUCUCUAAAUGAAUAUGCAUUUAAUGAAUAUACUUUACAUAUAAAACUGCUACUAAUCCCAAUUAUCCCAUGCAUAUUGUAAAGCAGCUUGUCUUUGAG